ACUUUAUGUUUUUUUGAAUAUUUUUUGUUAUUAAAUAAAAAGUUGUUUUAAUUAAAUAAAAUAUUAUAAAUUUUAGUAUUUAAAAAAUUAUUUUGAUUAAUUAAAGUAUAGUGUAUAAAAAUAGAUUUAUAAAUAAAUAAAAAGAAUAAAAAUUUAAUUUUGUACCUUUUGUAUCAGGGUUUAAUAAAAAUUAUUUAUAUAAAUUAUUCUCGAAUAAUUAAGAUUUAAUUUUUUAUAAUUUUAAAUGUUGAAAAAUUUAAUUUAAUAAAAAAUUGGUAAUGAAAAGUUAAUCGUUUAGUUAGGAUUCUAGUUUUUAAAUAAAUUAAUUUAAUUAAGCUUUAAAUAUUUAUUAUAAUUUUUUUAUUUUUAUGUAUUUAAAUGUAAAUUAUAAAGAGUUUAUUUUUUAUAAUUUUUAUAUCAUUAAUUAUAUUUAAUUUUUUCUAGAUUUAAAAUUUAUAAAAUGAUUAAUAGUUUUUUUUAAAAAAUGAUUAUAAAAAUUUUAUUUAUUUUUGAUUAAAUUUUUAUUUAAAUAAAAAUUUUAGUUAGUUAAAUUGUUUAAUAAUAUUAAAAUUAGUAAAUUUUUUUAUAAUUUAAAAAUAGUAAUUCGGCAAAUUAAUUUUUCGCCUGUUUAUCAAAAACAUGUCUUUAAGGUUUUAUUUAAAGUCCAAUCUGCUCACUGAAUUUUAAAGAGCCGCAGUAUUUUAACUGUGCAAAGGUAGCAUAAUAAAUAGUUUUUUAAUUGAAAGCUGGAAUGAAAGAUUAGACGAGAAAAUAACUUUCUUUUUUUAAAUAAAUUGAACUUAAAGUUUAAGUUAAAAUUCUUAAAUUUAUUUAAAAGACGAGAAGACCCUAUAGAUUUUUAUUUAUAUAAAAUUUUUAUAUAACUAAAAAUUUUUAUUAAAUUUAAUUGGGGCGAUUCUGUAAAAUAAAAAACUUAAUAAUUUAAAACCAUAAAUAAUUGAAUAUUUUGAUCUAAAAUUUUUAAUUUAUAGAUUAAAUUACCUUAGGGAUAACAGCGUAAUUUUAUUUGAGAGUUCAUAUCUAUAAUAAAGUUUGCGACCUCGAUGUUGAAUUAAGAAAAAUAUAUGAGUAGAAAUUUAUAAUUUUUAGUCUGUUCGACUAUUAAAUUCUUACAUGAUUUGAGUUCAGACCGGCGUGAGCCAGGUCAGUUUCUAUCUUUAAAAUAUUUUUGUAGGUAAGUACGAAAGGACAAUUUACAAAUAAAAAUUUAUUUGUUAAU
RNAcentral lists this ribosomal RNA (1240 nucleotides) under Anomolachesilla palaciosi. RNAcentral describes it as "16S ribosomal RNA". The stretch from base 1009 to 1167 matches the Rfam family "Archaeal large subunit ribosomal RNA", at positions 2544 to 2703 of the family's 2987-position model. The record is from RNAcentral. Lineage: Eukaryota; Metazoa; Arthropoda; Insecta; Psocodea; Lachesillidae.